This 355-nucleotide ribosomal RNA is filed under the name uncultured bacterium. RNAcentral describes it as "bacterial SSU rRNA". It matches the Rfam family "Bacterial small subunit ribosomal RNA", at positions 29 to 410 of the family's 1533-position model. The record is from RNAcentral.
AACGAACGCUGGCGGCAGGCUUAACACAUGCAAGUCGAGCGCCCCCGCAAGGGGAGCGGCAGACGGGUGAGUAACGCGUGGGAACAUACCCUUUGGUUCGGAAUAACUCAGGGAAACUUGAGCUAAUACCGGAUACGUCCGUAAGGAGAAAGAUUUAUCGCCAAAGGAUUGGCCCGCGUCCGAUUAGCUAGUUGGUGAGGUAACGGCUCACCAAGGCUACGAUCGGUAGCUGGUCUGAGAGGAUGAUCAGCCACAUUGGGACUGAGACACGGCCCAAACUCCUACGGGAGGCAGCAGUGGGGGAAUAUUGGACAAUGGGCGCAAGCCUGAUCCAGCCAUGCCCGCGUGAGUGAUG